This 468-nucleotide ribosomal RNA is filed under the name uncultured bacterium. Its description in RNAcentral is "partial 16S ribosomal RNA". It matches the Rfam family "Bacterial small subunit ribosomal RNA", at positions 28 to 507 of the family's 1533-position model. The record is from RNAcentral.
GACGAACGCUGGCGGCGUGCUUAACACAUGCAAGUCGAACGGAAAGGCCCUGCUUUUGUGGGGUGCUCGAUUGGCGAACGGGUGAGUAACACGUGAGUAACCUGCCCUUGACUUUGGGAUAACUUCAGGAAACUGGGGCUAAUACCGGAUAGGAGCUCCUGAUGCAUGGUGGGGGUUGGAAAGUUUCGGCGGUUGGGGAUGGACUCGCGGCUUAUCAGCUUGUUGGUGGGGUAGUGGCUUACCAAGGCUUUGACGGAUAGCCGGCCUGAGAGGGUGACCGGGCACAUUGGGACUGAGAGACGGACCAGACUCCAACGGGAGGCAGCAGUGGGGAAUAUUGCACAAUGGGCGGAAGCCUGAUGCAGCAACGCCGCGUGCGGGAUGACGGCCUUCGGGGUGUAAACCGCUUUCGCCUGUGACGAAGCGUGAGUGACGGUAAUGGGUAAAGAAGCACCGGCUAACUACGUG